CCUACGGGUGGCAGCAGUGGGGAAUAUUGGACAAUGGGGGCAACCCUGAUCCAGCCAUGCCGCGUGUGUGAAGAAGGCCCUCGGGUUGUAAAGCACUUUCAGUGAGGAAGAACGCCUGGUGGUUAAUACCCAUCAGGAAAGACAUCACUCACAGAAGAAGCACCGGCUAACUCCGUGCCAGCAGCCGCGGUAAUACGGAGGGUGCGAGCGUUAAUCGGAAUUACUGGGCGUAAAGCGCGCGUAGGUGGCUUGAUAAGCCGGUUGUGAAAGCCCCGGGCUCAACCUGGGAACGGCAUCCGGAACUGUCAAGCUAGAGUGCAGGAGAGGAAGGUAGAAUUCCCGGUGUAGCGGUGAAAUGCGUAGCGAUCGGGAGGAAUACCAGUGGCGAAGGCGGCCUUCUGGACUGAAACUGACACUGAGGUGCGAAAGCGUGGGUAGCAAACAGGAUUAGAUACCCCAGUAGUC
RNAcentral lists this ribosomal RNA (465 nucleotides) under Vreelandella stevensii. Its description in RNAcentral is "partial 16S ribosomal RNA". It matches the Rfam family "Bacterial small subunit ribosomal RNA", at positions 338 to 795 of the family's 1533-position model. The record is from RNAcentral. Lineage: Bacteria; Pseudomonadati; Pseudomonadota; Gammaproteobacteria; Oceanospirillales; Halomonadaceae.